Molecule: ribosomal RNA, 537 nt
Filed under: uncultured bacterium
Lineage: Bacteria
Description: bacterial SSU rRNA
Rfam family: Bacterial small subunit ribosomal RNA
Source: RNAcentral
AGCUAAUAGAUACCCGGGUAGUCCACGCCCUAAACGAUGUCUACUAGUUGUUGGUGGAGUAAAAUCCAUGAGUAAACGCAGCUAAACGCGUGAAGUAGGCCGCCUGGGGAGUACGGUCGCAAGAUUAAAACUCAAAGGAAUUGACGGGGGCCCGCACAAGCGGUGGAUUAUGUGGAUUAAAUUCGAUGCAACGCGAAAAACCUUACCUGGCCUUGACAUGCCACUAACGAAGCAGAGAUGCAUUAGGUGCCCGUAAGGGAAAGUGGAUACAGGUGCUGCAUGGCUGUCGUCAGCUCGUGUCAUGAGAUGUUGGGUUAAGUCCCGCAACGAGCGCAACCCUUGCCAUUAAUUGCCAUCAUUUAGUUGGGCACUUUAAUGGGACUGCCGGUGACAAACCGGAGGAAGGUGGGGAUGACGUCAAGUCCUCAUGGCCCUUAUGGCCAGGGCUUCACACGUAAUACAAUGGUCGGUACAGAGAGUUGCCAACCCGCGAGGGGUAGCUAAUCUCAGAAAGCCGAUCGUAGUCCGGAUUGUUCU